UUCCGGUUGAUCCUGCCGGACCCGACUGCUAUUUGGGUGAGGAUAAGCCAUGCGAGUUGAAUGGGAAACCUAAAAAUCCCAUGGCAAACUGCUCAGUAACACAUGAUCAACUUACCCUAUAGAGGAAAAUAACCUCGGGAAACUGAGGAUAAUGUUCCAUAGUUGAAUUGGCUUGGAAAAGUUUUUCAAUAAAAGGGAUAAGGAAAAUGGUUCUUAUCUGCUAUAGGAUAGGAUCGUGCUCGAUUAUGGUUGUUGGUGAGGUAAAGGCUCACCAAGCCGAUAAUCGAUAGGGGCCGUGAGAGCGGGAGCCCCGAGAUGGGUACUGAGACAACGACCCAGGCCUUACGAGGCGCAGCAGGCGCGAAACCUCCGCAAUACACGAAAGUGUGACGGGGUUACCCAAAGUGUUCUAUUUAGAACUGUGGUAGGUGAGUAAUGUUCCCUACUAGAAAGGAGAGGGCAAGGCUGGUGCCAGCCGCCGCGGUAAAACCAGCUCUUCAAGUGGUCGGGAUAAUUAUUGGGCUUAAAGUGUCCGUAGCCGGUUUAGUAAGUUCCUGGUAAAAUCGGGUAGCUUAACUAUCUGUAUGCUAGGAAUACUGCUAUACUAGAGGGCGGGAGAGGUCUGAGGUACUACAGGGGUAGGGGUGAAAUCUUAUAAUCCUUGUAGGACCACCAGUGGCGAAGGCGUCAGACUGGAACGCGCCUGACGGUGAGGGACGAAAGCCAGGGGAGCGAACCGGAUUAGAUACCCGGGUAGUCCUGGCCGUAAACGAUGCAUACUAGGUGAUGGCACGGCCAUGAGCCGUGUCAGUGCCGUAGGGAAACCGUUAAGUGUGCCGCCUGGGAAGUACGGUCGCAAGGCUAAAACUUAAAGGAAUUGGCGGGGGAGCACCACAAGGGGUGAAGCCUGCGGUUCAAUUGGAUUCAACGCCGGG
Molecule: ribosomal RNA, 935 nt
Filed under: uncultured archaeon
Lineage: Archaea
Description: bacterial SSU rRNA
Rfam family: Archaeal small subunit ribosomal RNA
Source: RNAcentral